AUGACUUUUCAAUUUGUCUGUUGCCUAAUUUAUUUAUUUUCACCUUAAUUAUUAUGACUUAGUUUAAUUUUUUUUUAUUUUGAGUUCCUCAAUUUGUUUGCUAUUAAUUUAAAUCUGACUAGAUUCUAUGUUUCUAAUUUCACACAACAAUGAAAUUAUGAUUCAAAGACAUGUUGUGUAUGAUGUGAGAUAUUGUACACUAUAUUUUCUUCGAUCCAGCCGAAGUUCUUCCCCACAAGAUGGAGAAGAUCCCGUAUAUGCUUGAAGAAGAUUUGGCUUUUCCUCCCUUGGAAGUGGCGCCAUGAGAAAAGUUCUGUCGCUCAGCAAAAUUCUAUAUCUCCACCAAGCGUGCCGUAAGGAACUUCGUUCCAAAAAAAACAUAUGAAAAUUUGGUAAUGUUUUUUGUACAUUUCAAAUUCGUUUGUCAUACCUAUGUUUCCGUCGUGACUCCAAAGCUAAUGACUUCUUAAGCUCAUUAAAAAAUCGAUCUCUAAUAAACCGGUAAAAAUAAAUUCUCUGAAACAAA
Molecule: long non-coding RNA, 526 nt
Organism: Bombyx mori (domestic silkworm)
Lineage: Eukaryota; Metazoa; Arthropoda; Insecta; Lepidoptera; Bombycidae
Exons: 3
Source: RefSeq, a predicted model, not a curated record